GACGAACGCUGGCGGCGUGCUUAACACAUGCAAGUCGAACGGAAAGGCCCUGCUUUUGUGGGGUGCUCGAGUGGCGAACGGGUGAGUAACACGUGAGUAACCUGCCCUUGACUUUGGGAUAACUUCAGGAAACUGGGGCUAAUACCGGAUAGGAGCUCCUGCUGCAUGGUGGGGGUGGGAAAGUUUCGGCGGUUGGGGAUGGACUCGCGGCUUAUCAGCUUGUUGGUGGGGUAGUGGCUUACCAAGGCUUUGACGGGUAGCCGGCCUGAGAGGGUGACCGGCCACAUUGGGACUGAGAUACGGCCCAGACUCCUACGGGAGGCAGCAGUGGGGAAUAUUGCACAAUGGGCGGAAGCCUGAUGCAGCAACGCCGCGUGCGGGAUGACGGCCUUCGGGUUGUAAACCGCUUUCGCCUGUGACGAAGCGUGAGUGACGGUAAUGAGUAAAGAAGCACCGGCUAACUACGUG
Molecule: ribosomal RNA, 468 nt
Filed under: uncultured bacterium
Lineage: Bacteria
Description: partial 16S ribosomal RNA
Rfam family: Bacterial small subunit ribosomal RNA
Source: RNAcentral